GCAGAAAAAGACUUGAUAUUAUCCCAUGAAAAAUAAAACAUGCUAAUCUGACCAGAAUGCUGGUUAAACAAACAAACUUGAAUAACCAUAGUUCACAAAUUAACAACAGCAACGAUGAUGCAUGUCUCAGACUAAGCAAUUUCUUAAUAAAGAAAAUCUCAAACAAAAAUUGUCUCCCAGUAACUAUCAUAUGGGUAAAUUAGGGACUCAAACUUCCUGGAGUUUUCACUUCUUGUCUUCCUUCUCUGCCUCGGCAGCCCUCUUCAGUCUGGCACCCAAAUGGCGUUUGUUUGUUCGCUCAAGACGAAGCUUGUAAUAAGCCUUAAAUGCCUUCAUUUCAUCUGUAAUCUUAACAAGCUCUACAGAUGGCUUCUCGCUCACAAUUGGUAGGUAUGAACCUUGAACCUGUGUAGCAUUUGCUAGUUCCUCGGGAGUGGAAUCACCAGCCU
Molecule: long non-coding RNA, 449 nt
Filed under: Medicago truncatula (barrel medic)
Lineage: Eukaryota; Viridiplantae; Streptophyta; Magnoliopsida; Fabales; Fabaceae
Description: lncRNA gene29726
Source: RNAcentral